This 246-nucleotide non-coding RNA is filed under the name Oscillibacter sp. RNAcentral describes it as "T-box sequence". It matches the Rfam family "T-box leader". Rfam says of the family: Uncharged tRNA acts as the effector for transcription antitermination of genes in the T-box leader family. The record is from RNAcentral. Lineage: Bacteria; Bacillati; Bacillota; Clostridia; Eubacteriales; Oscillospiraceae.
UAUAUGGUGAGGAAGAGGAAGAGUAUCCGCCAUGGCGUUGCGCAGAGAGCCCCUGUUUUGCUGAAAAGGGGAGAGGGUCAGACGGAGAAUACCCCUCAGAGCCGGCACCCCAACGGCCUUACGGCCCAGUAGGCGUGCUCCGGGUGCGCCCGUUACCGCGCGGGAGUGUGCUGGCACUCCAUGAGGCCGUCUCCGCGAGGAGGCGGCGAACCAGAGGUGGUACCGCGAAGUUGCUUCGCCCUCUGU